GACCCCAUCGUCUAGAGGCCUAGGACACUGCCCUUUCACGGCGGCGACAGGGGUUCGAAUCCCCUUGGGGUCGCCA
This 76-nucleotide transfer RNA is filed under the name Burkholderiales bacterium. Its description in RNAcentral is "tRNA-Glu". It matches the Rfam family "tRNA". Rfam says of the family: Transfer RNA (tRNA) molecules are approximately 80 nucleotides in length. The record is from RNAcentral. Lineage: Bacteria; Pseudomonadati; Pseudomonadota; Betaproteobacteria; Burkholderiales. RNAcentral also lists the same sequence under 3 other names.